GGCGAACGCUGGCGGCGGGCUUAACACAUGCAAGUCGAACGGAAGGGCCGUGAGUGUGUGGGGUGACGGGGGGCGAAAGGGGGAAGGAACAGGUAAACAACGGGCCCUAGUUUUUGGGGGAAGUUAAGGAAAGGGGGGUUAAGACCGUAUAGGAGACCACGUACGAGGGUGGGGGGGGGAAAGUCUCGGCGGUUGGGGUUGGACUAGCGGCUUUCGGACUUGUUGGUGGGGGAGUGGAUGCCCAAGCCUUGGACGGGUAGCCGGCCGGAGAGGGUGGACGGCCACAAUGGUACUGCGAGACGCACCAGACGCGUACGGGAGGCAGCAGUGGGGAAUAUUGCACAAUGGGCGGACGCCUGAUGCAGCAGCGUCGCGUGCGUGAUGACGGCCUUCGGGGUGUAAACCGCUUUCGCCUGUGACGAAGCGUGAGUGACGGUAAUGGGUAAAGAAGCACCGGCUAACUACGUG
This 468-nucleotide ribosomal RNA is filed under the name uncultured bacterium. RNAcentral describes it as "partial 16S ribosomal RNA". It matches the Rfam family "Bacterial small subunit ribosomal RNA", at positions 30 to 507 of the family's 1533-position model. The record is from RNAcentral.